This 530-nucleotide ribosomal RNA is filed under the name uncultured bacterium. Its description in RNAcentral is "bacterial SSU rRNA". It matches the Rfam family "Bacterial small subunit ribosomal RNA", at positions 1 to 524 of the family's 1533-position model. The record is from RNAcentral.
UAGAGUUUGAUCAUGGCUCAGAGUGAACGCUGGCGGUAGGCCUAACACAUGCAAGUCGAACGGCAGCACAGUAAGAGCUUGCUCUUAUGGGUGGCGAGUGGCGGACGGGUGAGGAAUACAUCGGAAUCUACCUUUUCGUGGGGGAUAACGUAGGGAAACUUACGCUAAUACCGCAUACGACCUUCGGGUGAAAGCAGGGGACCUUCGGGCCUUGCGCGGAUAGAUGAGCCGAUGUCGGAUUAGCUAGUUGGCGGGGUAAAGGCCCACCAAGGCGACGAUCCGUAGCUGGUCUGAGAGGAUGAUCAGCCACACUGGAACUGAGACACGGUCCAGACUCCUACGGGAGGCAGCAGUGGGGAAUAUUGGACAAUGGGCGCAAGCCUGAUCCAGCCAUACCGCGUGGGUGAAGAAGGCCUUCGGGUUGUAAAGCCCUUUUGUUGGGAAAGAAAAGCAGUCGAUUAAUACUCGGUUGUUCUGACGGUACCCAAAGAAUAAGCACCGGCUAACUUCGUGCCAGCAGCCGCGGUAAU